Molecule: long non-coding RNA, 494 nt
Organism: Calidris pygmaea (Spoon-billed sandpiper)
Lineage: Eukaryota; Metazoa; Chordata; Aves; Charadriiformes; Scolopacidae
Source: Ensembl
AAUUCUUUCUUUGCAACCACUGCUAAUGCAUUCUGACAGAUACUAAUGUUUACAACUAGAAAUACUUGAUAAUGACUCUUUGCAGGGCACAGUCUAUCCGGUAGGAAAUCACACAGACCCUCCCUUUGUGCCAGCUCCAUUUGCCCUCCCAGACCAAGAUGAUUCCAUGCUAUACCUGGGAGUCUCCAGUUAUUUUCUUAAGUCUGCUUCACUGGCUUAUUACAGAGCAGGGGCCUUUAACAUCACCAUCUCUGAAGAGCUUGCUACUUCUUUCAACCUAAGCACCGGCUUAUGCAAAGAUUUUGUUCCUGAGAUGGCUCUGAGUAACGGAACGGCGUGCCCAGUGCUGCUGAAGCUGAUGGCUACAUCACCACCUGUGGUCAGUUUAAACGCAGACAGAUGCAUCCUCCAGAUCACUGGCUCUGUAGAAGCGUUUGCUGUUCUGCCAAAUUCAACCACCCACUACGUCUUUACAGGGAAUCUAGUAAGUAAGA